AGGACGAACGCUGGCGGCGUGCUUAACACAUGCAAGUCAAGGGGGCCCAGCAAUGGGCAACCGGCGAACGGGUGCGUAACACGUGAGCAACCUACCGAACUGUGGGGGAUAGCCGGCCUAACGGCCGAGUAAUACCGCAUACGCUCUCAGAGAGGCAUUUCUUUGAGAGGAAACCUACGGGACAGAUCGAGGGGCUCGCGGCCUAUCAGCUAGUUGGCGAGGUAACGGCUCACCAAGGCAACGACGGGUA
RNAcentral lists this ribosomal RNA (250 nucleotides) under uncultured soil bacterium. RNAcentral's name for it is "partial 16S ribosomal RNA". It matches the Rfam family "Bacterial small subunit ribosomal RNA", at positions 26 to 285 of the family's 1533-position model. The record is from RNAcentral.